GUAAAGUUUUAGGAUCCUCAAAAACAUCCUUAUACUGAAGAAGAAGAGUAUGAACUGCUAGACUAGUAGUAGCAGAUUGAGAAGAAGUGGUGCCAUCCGGAUAGAAAUCCAACAAAGCCAAAGCCCACACCUCAUUGCCAGAAAACCACUUGCUCAACUAGACCACCGACAAUUCAGUCACCGUCUGCUGAACCGUAGGUAACAGACCUUGCAACUGCACCGAGGAGCCUUGAUAAGAAAAUCCUAGAGACUUUUGAUUCCAAUUACAUGUAAUAGGACUAUUCUGUUUCAACCAAUCACACCCUAGAAUGGCAUCAUAAGGCCCCAAAUCCAAUACCCUCAUGUCAGUGGUGAAAGUGUGUCCAUCACACCACCACUCUACUGCCUUCACCAUAGUAGUGCUCACCGGUUCUUGCCCACUAGCAGUCUUGCCUCGAAUAGUGGAAAUAGGUUGAGGAAACAACCCUGCUUGUUGGACAAAUGUGGAAUUGAUGAAAGUUGCUGAACUAUCUGAAUCCACCAACAAUAGAAACACCUGGUUUUUAACCAAAGCACGCAAGCGAAUGCUAUCCACUCCUCCAGUCCCAAAAACUGCAUGAAUAGACAAGCUGCACAAGUCCACCACAGAGUGAUCCUCCUCAUCCAACUGCUGUAAAACUUCAUCUGAUAAUUCUAAAGCCAUGUCAUCCACAGCCAAAACAUUAAGCACCGCCGGGACUCGUUUUCCACAUUUAGCAGCAUGUCCAACAUCAAACUUGUCACCACAAGUAAAACAUAAACCAUGAGCCCCACGAUAAUCCCGCAAUUGUCGUUCCUUGGACAACCCCACACCUUCUUGAGAGUCAGACGGUAGCCCUGGAAUACCUCUUUCCCCCCAACAGUGGACUGAAACUUAGGCCGACUCUUGUCCAAAACAUCCUGCUGUAAGUUGGCCAAAAGAACAACACGAUUCACCGUAGUUGGUAAUUGACAACGCACAGGACCUUGAAUCUUGCACUUCAAACCAUUAACAAACUGAGUGACAAAGAAAAUCUCAUCCAGCUGAGGAUUAUGGACAGCAGUACUAUAACG
Molecule: long non-coding RNA, 1071 nt
Filed under: Zea mays
Lineage: Eukaryota; Viridiplantae; Streptophyta; Magnoliopsida; Poales; Poaceae
Description: drought responsive lncRNA
Source: RNAcentral